CUACGUGCCAGCAGCCGCGGUCAUACGUAGGAUCCGAGCGUUAUCCGGAGUGACUGGGCGUAAAGAGUUGCGUAGGCGGUUGUAUAAGUGAAUAGUGAAAUCUGGUGGCUCAACCAUACAGGCUAUUGUUCAAACUGUACAACUUGAGAGUGGUAGAGGUCACUGGAAUUUCUUGUGUAGGAGUGAAAUCCGUAGAUAUAAGAAGGAACACCAAUGGCGUAGGCAGGUGACUGGACCAUUUCUGACGCUAAGGCACGAAAGCGUGGGGAGCGAACCGGAUUAGAUACCCUGGUAGUCCACGCCGUAAACGAUGAGUGCUAGGUGUUAGACCCUUUCCGGGGUUUAGUGCCGCAGCUAACGCAUUAAGCACUCCGCCUGGGGAGUACGACCGCAAGGUUGAAACUCAAAGGAAUUGACGGGGGCCCGCACAAGCGGUGGAGCAUGUGGUUUAAUUCGAAGCAACGCGAAGAACCUUACCAGGUCUUGACAUCCCUCUGACAGCUCUAGAGAUAGAGUUUUC
Molecule: ribosomal RNA, 520 nt
Filed under: uncultured bacterium
Lineage: Bacteria
Description: bacterial SSU rRNA
Rfam family: Bacterial small subunit ribosomal RNA
Source: RNAcentral